Pseudopipra pipra is the source of this 390-nucleotide long non-coding RNA. RefSeq lists it as uncharacterized. The transcript is spliced from 3 exons. NCBI's taxonomy places the organism in Eukaryota, Metazoa, Chordata, Aves, Passeriformes, Pipridae. The record is from RefSeq and is a predicted model, not a curated record.
GCCGUGACUCUCACAGGAUAGGGGAAGGAAAAAUCUUUUAACAAGGAUGACCUUCAGACAGCUUUAGUUCUGAAUGUGCUCCAGUCAUGGCAGCCUUUCACCACACUCCUCUGGAAUUUCCAUAUUAAUCCACAUGAAAGAUUGUGGUAUAACAGCAGAAAUCCAGCAAGGCACAUUGCAAUCAUCUUACAUGGCCUUUUCCAGAUGCACAUAUGGCCCCCACUUCCUAUCUAUGCCCUGCCAUAAUCAUAAAACACUGUGGAGUGGAAGCUUAUUUUGACGAGAAAUCAUCAGUGCAAGCACCAUAGAAGAUAUUUUGGGGAAGAACCUUUCUUGAGCACUACUUCAAACAAUGAUGUGGAACAACAUAUUAGUAUUUUUCAAGUAUAA